RNAcentral lists this ribosomal RNA (474 nucleotides) under uncultured bacterium. RNAcentral describes it as "bacterial SSU rRNA". It matches the Rfam family "Bacterial small subunit ribosomal RNA", at positions 340 to 830 of the family's 1533-position model. The record is from RNAcentral.
UACGGGAGGCAGCAGUGGGGAAUAUUGCACAAUGGGGGAAACCCUGAUGCAGCAACGCCGCGUGAGUGAAGAAGGUUUUCGGAUUGUAAAGCUCUGUUAGCAGGGAAGAGGAAGGACGGUACCUGCAGAGGAAGCCACGGCUAACUACGUGCCAGCAGCCGCGGUAAUACGUAGGUGGCAAGCGUUGUUCGGAAUAACUGGGCGUAAAGGAUGCGUAGGCGGUUGAGUAAGUUAUGUGUUAAAUAUAUAGGCUUAACCUGUAGAAAGCACAUAAAACUGUUUAACUAGAGUGCAGGAGAGGUAAGUGGAAUUCCUAGUGUAGCGGUGAAAUGCGUAGAGAUUAGGAAGAACACCAGUGGCGAAGGCGACUUACUGGACUGUAACUGACGCUGAGGCAUGAGAGCAUGGGGAGCAAACAGGAUUAGAUACCCUGGUAGUCCAUGCUGUAAACGAUGGGUACUAGGUGUGGGUUGU